This 433-nucleotide ribosomal RNA is filed under the name uncultured bacterium. Its description in RNAcentral is "partial 16S ribosomal RNA". It matches the Rfam family "Bacterial small subunit ribosomal RNA", at positions 29 to 507 of the family's 1533-position model. The record is from RNAcentral.
AGCGAACGCUGGCGGCAGGCUUAACACAUGCAAGUCGAGCGGGCCCUUCGGGGUCAGCGGCAGACGGGUGAGUAACGCGUGGGAACGUGCCCUUCGGUUCGGAAUAACUCAGGGAAACUUGAGCUAAUACCGGAUACGCCCUUAUGGGGAAUGGUUUACUGCCGAAGGAUCGGCCCGCGUCUGAUUAGCUAGUUGGUGAGGUUAUGGCUCACCAAGGCGACGAUCAGUAGCUGGUCUGAGAGGAUGAUCAGCCACACUGGGACUGAGACACGGCCCAGACUCCUACGGGAGGCAGCAGUGGGGAAUAUUGGACAAUGGGGGCAACCCUGAUCCAGCCAUGCCGCGUGAGUGAUGACGGCCUUAGGGUUGUAAAGCUCUUUUCUCCGGGACGAUAAUGACGGUACCGGAGGAAUAAGCCCCGGCUAACUUCGUG